GUUCCUGCAGGCAAAAUAAGGCAGCUUUAAUUCACUGUUAUUCCUCUCUCUGUGUGAGCUCAUCCCCCAGGUUUUUUUUUGUGCUGCAUCUUAUCACCCGGUUUUGUGUCUGCUGUCUCUCCUCUACCACAGAAACAACUCCUGCAGCUCCCAGCCUGUCCGAGAUACAUUGUUACUAACACACGGCAAAGCGAAUACAGAAGGUAAGCUUCUAAUCUACGUUUGGUCAUUUGAAGAAAGAAUAUUCUAGAAUAUUGUUUGACUGGCAUACAUCAUGACUCUAUAUUAAUGAGUGAAUUUUGUGGAAAACCAAUCAUUAGAGUUCAGAGGUCCCCAAUGCCUUAAGAAUAGACUGGACUCGCCUAAAUAUUUGAUCUACACAUGAGAAAACACAGAAUUCAAAGAUCACA
Long non-coding RNA from Pelobates fuscus (common spadefoot toad), 410 nucleotides. RefSeq lists it as uncharacterized. The record is from RefSeq and is a predicted model, not a curated record. The transcript has 3 exons. NCBI's taxonomy places the organism in Eukaryota, Metazoa, Chordata, Amphibia, Anura, Pelobatidae.